GUUCUUGUUUAAACUAAUAGCAGAAGUAACAAACCAUUCUUAAACAUUAUCUGUAUCUCAUAGUGCCCUAAGCCAGAGUGCACUGUGGCCCCAAACUAUUGCCUGGCCUCUGUGCACACAGGCUGCAGACAUUGAAGUGGGUUGCACAGUG
This 151-nucleotide small nucleolar RNA is filed under the name Sus scrofa (pig). RNAcentral's name for it is "Small nucleolar RNA SNORA42/SNORA80 family (ENSSSCG00070000833.1)". Lineage: Eukaryota; Metazoa; Chordata; Mammalia; Artiodactyla; Suidae. The record is from RNAcentral.